CGAGCGAGAGAGAGCUUGCUUUCUCGAGCGAGUGGCGAACGGGUGAGUAACGCGUGAGGAACCUGCCUCAAAGAGGGGGACAACAGUUGGAAACGACUGCUAAUACCGCAUAAGCCCACGACCCGGCAUCGGGUAGAGGGAAAAGGAGCAAUCCGCUUUGAGAUGGCCUCGCGUCCGAUUAGCUAGUUGGUGAGGUAACGGCCCACCAAGGCGACGAUCGGUAGCCGGACUGAGAGGUUGAACGGCCACAUUGGGACUGAGACACGGCCCAGACUCCUACGGGAGGCAGCAGUGGGGAAUAUUGCACAAUGGGGGAAACCCUGAUGCAGCGACGCCGCGUGGAGGAAGAAGGUCUUCGGAUUGUAAACUCCUGUUGUUGAGGAAGAUAAUGACGGUGCUCAACAAGGAAGUGACGGCUAACUACGUGCCAGCAGCCGCGGUAAAACGUAGGUCACAAGCGUUGUCCGGAAUUACUGGGUGUAAAGGGAGCGCAGGCGGGAAGACAAGUUGGAAGUGAAAUCCAUGGGCUCAACCCAUGAACUGCUUUCAAAACUGUUUUUCUUGAGUAGUGCAGAGGUAGGCGGAAUUCCCGGUGUAGCGGUGGAAUGCGUAGAUAUCGGGAGGAACACCAGUGGCGAAGGCGGCCUACUGGGCACCAACUGACGCUGAGGCUCGAAAGUGUGGGUA
This 687-nucleotide ribosomal RNA is filed under the name uncultured Lachnospiraceae bacterium. RNAcentral describes it as "bacterial SSU rRNA". It matches the Rfam family "Bacterial small subunit ribosomal RNA", at positions 63 to 767 of the family's 1533-position model. The record is from RNAcentral. Lineage: Bacteria; Bacillati; Bacillota; Clostridia; Lachnospirales; Lachnospiraceae.